RNAcentral lists this ribosomal RNA (422 nucleotides) under uncultured Pedobacter sp. RNAcentral's name for it is "bacterial SSU rRNA". It matches the Rfam family "Bacterial small subunit ribosomal RNA", at positions 355 to 774 of the family's 1533-position model. Lineage: Bacteria; Pseudomonadati; Bacteroidota; Sphingobacteriia; Sphingobacteriales; Sphingobacteriaceae. The record is from RNAcentral.
UAAGGAAUAUUGGUCAAUGGAGGCAACUCUGAACCAGCCAUGCCGCGUGCAGGAAGACUGCCCUAUGGGUUGUAAACUGCUUUUAUCCGGGAAUAAACCUUUCUACGUGUAGGAAGCUGAAUGUACCGGAAGAAUAAGGAUCGGCUAACUCCGUGCCAGCAGCCGCGGUAAUACGGAGGAUCCAAGCGUUAUCCGGAUUUAUUGGGUUUAAAGGGUGCGUAGGCGGCCUGUUAAGUCAGGGGUGAAAGACGGUAGCUCAACUAUCGCAGUGCCCUUGAUACUGAUGGGCUUGAAUGGACUAGAGGUAGGCGGAAUGAGACAAGUAGCGGUGAAAUGCAUAGAUAUGUCUCAGAACACCGAUUGCGAAGGCAGCUUACUAUGGUCUUAUUGACGCUGAGGCACGAAAGCGUGGGGAUCAAACA